This 625-nucleotide unclassified non-coding RNA is filed under the name Melitaea cinxia (Glanville fritillary). RNAcentral's name for it is "misc RNA ENSMCXG00005002804.1". The record is from RNAcentral. Lineage: Eukaryota; Metazoa; Arthropoda; Insecta; Lepidoptera; Nymphalidae.
GGACUGUACAGGCUGUAAUGAAAUAAAAUCUUUGAAUAUUAAGACAUCUUGAAAAUUAUUAGACUGUGUUCCCACAUUUAAAAGAACGAUUCGUAAUUUCAAUCAAACUGUUCAAUUUUGAAUAUAGCACUAAAACGAAUCAUAUGAUUAUAGGAGAAGCUUUAAUGAAUUUACUACAAUCUAGUUCUGUCGGUCAAUCAGGGCUCUCGAUGGAAAAGCGUCAAGCUUCUAUGUCAUAUACCUACGGCAUUUCACAAUAUAUCACAUAGGUAUAAGCUUAUCGCAAUCAAGUACUCGUACUUAUACUUUCAAUAUUGGCAUUCGCGCGCAACUACGCGAGUAUUUGGCGAAUAUUUACCCGACUGCAAAGGAAGGGUUAUGUUUUUCGCUCGUCUCAUAUCUCCAGAACCGCUCAACGGAUUUACAUAAGUAAGGUAUCGUUAGAUUCGUCUUAGCAGCCCAAAUGUUCUUAGUUAUGUGACGUUAAAAAAAUCAAACAUGGCGGCUGUGCGAAGCCAUUGUAUUUGAUAUUGUUUUGAUUUAUUUCGCUGGCUUUGUGUAAGACAGUAUGAGUAUAAGUGUAGUAAGUAAUGACAGUAUGAGUGAUGCCUUUUAAAGUGGCCUG